ACGGUUUUCACUUGUUUUUUUGUUUGAGAAAGUACUGGUAUUUUUCCAAAUAUUAUGUGACUCGGUAGUUUAAUUAUUUGUUGUGUCAGUCCUUGAAGUUCAGGCAGGUUGUGCCUUUAAAGCCCCCUGACUUGCAUUUGCAUUACAUUGAUCUGGAAAACGAUAACUCAUAAAAACACCUUGAGUGGACUUGCAGUGGAUGAACAGCCAGCAGCAACACGGCAUCGUUCUUUUGUUGCUAUUCUUUGGCAUGCUGGUGGCAGUAAUAACUUGUGUGAUGAAGAGGAGGAGUUGCAAGCUGUUGGAUCUUCCACAAGGCAGCCUGGAGGAGAGGCUGCAGAGGGACAACGCUCUUCUCCAGAAAUGCUGGAGAAGCCAGCGAGCCAAGAGAGCCAGCAGACGUGUGGCGAGCGGGGGCCGACGGAGGCCUACAGGAUCACUGGGAAGCUGGCGGUUGAAUAACGGCCAGAAAAACCUCCUUCUUUUUGUUAUUUCCUUCUAAAAUGUUUGUGACUAGUUCAUAUACAAUGGGGUGUAAUGAUGUAAUGACUUAUGAGACAAUAAAAGACUUGUAACUUGGUAACACGCA
Molecule: long non-coding RNA, 589 nt
Organism: Pseudoliparis swirei
Lineage: Eukaryota; Metazoa; Chordata; Actinopteri; Perciformes; Liparidae
Exons: 2
Source: RefSeq, a predicted model, not a curated record